Non-coding RNA from Tachysurus vachellii, 409 nucleotides. NCBI's taxonomy places the organism in Eukaryota, Metazoa, Chordata, Actinopteri, Siluriformes, Bagridae. The record is from the annotation of a RefSeq genome assembly.
AGUGAGCUCUGUGAGAGAUAACACUCCCAUACACUUUAAAUCUGGGUGAAGCAGAACUCAGAGAAGGAUGAUUUUAGGACAGUGUAUUUUAUUCCUACUCAUUUCAUAUUCUUAUGGACAGUCCCUGACCUCCUCUGAUUCUGUGGUGAAGAGACCUGGCGAGUCGGUCACUCUGUCCUGUACUGUCUCCGGAUUCUCAAUGGGCAGCUACUACAUGCUCUGGACCCGUCAGAAACCAGGACAAGGACUGGAGUGGUUCGGGCACAUUGACACUAGCACUGGCACUGCAUUCGCUCAGUCACUACAGGGCCAGUUCUCCAUCAAGACACCAAUAAAAACCUACCUAGAAGUGAAGAGUCUGAAAGCUGAAGACACGGCAGUUUAUUACUGUGCACGAGAGUCACACUGA